Molecule: ribosomal RNA, 160 nt
Filed under: bacterium 081610
Lineage: Bacteria
Description: partial 16S rRNA
Rfam family: Bacterial small subunit ribosomal RNA
Source: RNAcentral
UGGGGAAUUUUGGACAAUGGGGGAAACCCUGAUCCAGCAAUGCCGCGUGAGUGAAGAAGGCCUUCGGGUUGUAAAGCUCUUUUGUCAGGGAAGAAACACCGGCUCUAACACAGUCCGGGAAUGACGGUACCCUGAAGAAUAAGCACCGGCUAACUACGUG